CGCAAGCCUGACGGAGCAAGACCGCGUGGGGGAGGAAGGCUCUUGGGUUGUAAACCCCUUUUCUCAGGGAAGAACCAAAUGACGGUACCUGAGGAAUCAGCCUCGGCUAACUCCGUGCCAGCAGCCGCGGUAAUACGGAGGAGGCAAGCGUUAUCCGGAAUGAUUGGGCGUAAAGCGUUCGUAGGUGGCUACUCAAGUCUGCUGUCAAAGACAGAAGCUCAACUUCUGAAAGGCAGUGGAAACUGAGUAGCUGGAGUGCGGUAGGGGCAGAGGGAAUUCCCGGUGUAGCGGUGAAAUGCGUAGAGAUCGGGAAGAACACCGGUGGCGAAAGCGCUCUGCUGGGCCGCAACUGACACUGAGGGACGAAAGCUAGGGGAGCGAAUGGGAUUAGAUACCCCAGUAGUCCUAGCUGUAAACGGUGGAAACUAGGUGUUGCCUGUAUCGACCCAGGCAGUGCCGUAGCUAACGCGUUAAGUUUCCCGCCUGGGGAGUACGCACGCAAGUGUGAAACUCAAAGGAAUUGACGGGGGCCCGCACAAGCGGUGGAGUAUGUGGUUUAAUUCGAUGCAACGCGAAGAACCUUACCAGGGCUUGACAUGUCCGGAACCCUGGCGAAAGCUAGGGGUGCCUUCGGGAGCCGGAACACAGGUGGUGCAUGGCUGUCGUCAGCUCGUGUCGUGAGAUGUUGGGUUAAGUCCCGCAACGAGCGCAACCCUCGUUCUUAGUUGCCAUCAUUAAGUUGGGCACUCUAGGGAGACUGCCGGUGACAAACCGGAGGAAGGUGGGGAUGACGUCAAGUCAUCAUGCCCCUUACGUCCUGGGCUACACACGUACUACAAUGGGAAGGACAGAGGGCAGCCACUUCGCGAGGAGGAGCUAAUCCCGUAAACCUUUCCUCAGUUCAGAUUGCAGGCUGCAACUCGCCUGCAUGAAGGAGGAAUCGCUAGUAAUCGCAGGUCAGCAUACUGCGGUGAAUCCGUUCCCGGGCCUUGUACACACCGCCCGUCACACCAUGGAAGUUAGCCAUGCCCGAAGUCAUUACUCUAACCUUUCGAGGAGGAGGGUGCCGAAGGCAGGGCUGAUGACUGGGGUGAAGUCGUAACAAGGUAGCCGUACCGGAAGGUGUGGCUGGAUCACCUCCUUUUUAGGGAGACCAAACUUCGGUUGAGCUAACCCCAAUUUACAAGCCAACUGAGGUCAUCCCAGGUCGUGCGAGGAAUUGAGCAACUACUAGGCUUUCAAACUUUCGGUUCGGAUAUUAUCAAAUACUUAACUACUGAAUCUCUCUUCAAAAAAGAGAUAAACAGUGCAGCACCUAAAAUUCCAAGAAAAGAGGCUUUAGGAUGCUGGACGAAAGUUCAGUCAGAACCUGGAAAACUGCAUAGAGAAUCAGGCAAAAGGUAAGACCGUAACAGACUUUUCAAAUGAGAGGUCAAGCUAGAAAGAGCUAACGGUGGAU
This 1459-nucleotide unclassified non-coding RNA is filed under the name Limnoraphis sp. RMCB03. RNAcentral describes it as "bacterial SSU rRNA". The stretch from base 1 to 1144 matches the Rfam family "Bacterial small subunit ribosomal RNA", at positions 376 to 1533 of the family's 1533-position model. Lineage: Bacteria; Bacillati; Cyanobacteriota; Cyanophyceae; Oscillatoriales; Sirenicapillariaceae. The record is from RNAcentral.